Molecule: long non-coding RNA, 378 nt
Organism: Solanum dulcamara
Lineage: Eukaryota; Viridiplantae; Streptophyta; Magnoliopsida; Solanales; Solanaceae
Exons: 2
Source: RefSeq, a predicted model, not a curated record
AUUCCUCCUUUGGAAUUGAACUAAGACGCUGCUAGGUUAAGUACUCUGUCUAUGUGUAGGUAUGUGUGGCACGUUGCUUGGCCUUCGAGGCAUUUUAUCACAAAUGAGGGGUUGAUUUGCCAAGAUGAGCAUCGUAUUGAAAGCAAUCUGCUUAAAGGGGUGAAAUGUGGCCUUAAGACAUGACUUGAAAGUAAAUUUAUGAUGAGGAGGCGUGUAGAUUAUGAAAAUUGUGGUGGAAAGGCAUUCAUAUAUAUAUAUAUAUAUAUAUAUAUAUAUAUAUUUGUUGCAUUUGAAAUUUACUUUGUCAUCGUCAUUAUGCAUACAUAUUCAUUCUCAUGGAUCAUAGAAAUGGCACAAUGAAACUGACGUUUGGAAGGA